GUGCCAGCCGCCGCGGUAAGACGAACCGAGCGAACGUUGUUCGGAAUCACUGGGCUUAAAGGGCGCGUAGGCGGGCGAUCAAGUCAGGGGUGAAAGCCCCCAGCUCAACUGGGGAAGUGCCUCUGAUACUGAUCGUCUCGAGGGGGAUAGGGGCGUGCGGAACUUCCGGUGGAGCGGUGAAAUGCGUAGAUAUCGGAAGGAACACCGGUGGCGAAAGCGGCGCGCUGGAUCCCUUCUGACGCUGAGGCGCGAAAGCCAGGGGAGCAAACGGGAUUAGAAACCCCAGUAGUCC
RNAcentral lists this ribosomal RNA (292 nucleotides) under uncultured bacterium. RNAcentral's name for it is "partial 16S ribosomal RNA". It matches the Rfam family "Bacterial small subunit ribosomal RNA", at positions 505 to 796 of the family's 1533-position model. The record is from RNAcentral.